This 440-nucleotide ribosomal RNA is filed under the name Adoretini sp. BMNH 671443. Its description in RNAcentral is "partial 16S ribosomal RNA". It matches the Rfam family "Bacterial large subunit ribosomal RNA", at positions 1844 to 2543 of the family's 2925-position model. The record is from RNAcentral. Lineage: Eukaryota; Metazoa; Arthropoda; Insecta; Coleoptera; Scarabaeidae.
UUUAAAGUCUAACCUGCCCAAUGAGGAGUUGAAUGGCCGCGGUAUUUUGACCGUGCAAAGGUAGCAUAAUCAUUAGUUUUUUAAUUGAAAGCUGGAAUGAACGGUUGGACGAGAAAAUAACUGUCUCAAUUUAAUUGAAUUAGAAUUUUAUUUAUAAGUAAAAAAGCUUAUAUAUUUUUAAAAGACGAGAAGACCCUAUAGAGUUUUAUAUUUAUAUAAAUAUAUUAUUUUUAGAAUGUUUAGAUUUUAUAUGUAUUUAAAUAUUUUAUUGGGGCGAUAGAAAAAUUAGAUAAACUUUUUUUAUAUUAUUACAUUGAUUUAUGGUUUAAUGAUCCAAUAUUUUUGAUUAUAAGAUUUAAUUACCUUAGGGAUAACAGCGUAAUUUUUCUUUAGAGUUCUUAUCGAAAGAAAAGUUUGCGACCUCGAUGUUGGAUUAAAAU